This 61-nucleotide transfer RNA is filed under the name Cavia porcellus (domestic guinea pig). It matches the Rfam family "tRNA", at positions 7 to 64 of the family's 71-position model. Rfam says of the family: Transfer RNA (tRNA) molecules are approximately 80 nucleotides in length. The record is from Rfam by way of RNAcentral. Lineage: Eukaryota; Metazoa; Chordata; Mammalia; Rodentia; Caviidae.
UUAGCUUAGCGGCAUGGGCGCCUGCCUUGUAAGCAGGCGGUCGCCAGUUCGAUCCCUGGUA